CAACAGGGAUUGCCUUAGUAACGGCGAGUGAAGCGGCAACAGCUCAAAUUUGAAAGCUGGCCCUUUUAGGGUCCGCGUUGUAAUUUGUAGAGGAUGAUUCGGCGAGGGCUCCUGCCUAAGUCCCCUGGAACGGGGCGUCAUAGAGGGUGAGAAUCCCGUAUGCGGUAGGUUGCCUUAGCCAUGUGAAUCUCCUUCGACGAGUCGAGUUGUUUGGGAAUGCAGCUCUAAAUGGGAGGUAAAUUUCUUCUAAAGCUAAAUACUGGCCAGAGACCGAUAGCGCACAAGUAGAGUGAUCGAAAGAUGAAAAGCACUUUGGAAAGAGAGUUAAAAAGUACGUGAAAUUGUUGAAAGGGAAGCGCUUGCAACCAGACUUGUCCGCAGUUGCUCAGCCGGUCUCCUGACCGGCGUACUCUUCUGCGGCCAGGCCAGCAUCAGUUCGGGCGGUCGGAUAAAGGCCUCGGGAAUGUAGCUCCUCUCGGGGAGUGUUAUAGCCCGGGGUGGAAUGCGACCAGCCUGGACUGAGGAUCUCGCUUCGGCAAGGAUGCUGGCGUAAUGGUUGUAAGCGGCCCGUCUUGAAACACGGACCAAGGAGUCUAACAUCUAUGCGAGUGUUCGGGUGUCAAACCCGUACGCGUAAUGAAAGUGAACGGAGGUGGGAACCCGCAAGGGUGCACCAUCGGCCGAUCCUGAUGUCUUCGGAUGGAUUUGAGCAAGAGCAUAGCUGUUGGGACCCGAAAGAUGGUGAACUAUGCCUGAAUAGGGUGAAGCCAGAGGAAACUCUGGUGGAGGCUCGCAGCGGUUCUGACGUGCAAAUCGAUCGUCAAAUUUGGGUAUAGGGGCGAAAGACUAAUCGAACCAU
RNAcentral lists this ribosomal RNA (859 nucleotides) under Lasiodiplodia sp. ZPD-2018. Its description in RNAcentral is "partial 28S ribosomal RNA". It matches the Rfam family "Eukaryotic large subunit ribosomal RNA", at positions 66 to 943 of the family's 3401-position model. Lineage: Eukaryota; Fungi; Ascomycota; Dothideomycetes; Botryosphaeriales; Botryosphaeriaceae. The record is from RNAcentral.